RNAcentral lists this ribosomal RNA (1017 nucleotides) under uncultured bacterium. RNAcentral's name for it is "bacterial SSU rRNA". It matches the Rfam family "Bacterial small subunit ribosomal RNA", at positions 355 to 1375 of the family's 1533-position model. The record is from RNAcentral.
UGAGGAAUAUUGGUCAAUGGGGGCAGGCCUGAACCAGCCAAGUAGCGUGAAGGAUGACUGCCCUAUGGGUUGUAAACUUCUUUUAUAAAGGAAUAAAGUCGGGUAUGUAUACCCGUUUGCAUGUACUUUAUGAAUAAGGAUCGGCUAACUCCGUGCCAGCAGCCGCGGUAAUACGGAGGAUCCGAGCGUUAUCCGGAUUUAUUGGGUUUAAAGGGAGCGUAGAUGGAUGUUUAAGUCAGUUGUGAAAGUUUGCGGCUCAACCGUAAAAUUGCAGUUGAUACUGGAUAUCUUGAGUGCAGUUGAGGCAGGCGGAAUUCGUGGUGUAGCGGUGAAAUGCUUAGAUAUCACGAAGAACUCCGAUUGCGAAGGCAGCCUGCUAAGCUGCAACUGACAUUGAGGCUCGAAAGUGUGGGUAUCAAACAGGAUUAGAUACCCUGGUAGUCCACACGGUAAACGAUGAAUACUCGCUGUUUGCGAUAUACUGCAAGCGGCCAAGCGAAAGCGUUAAGUAUUCCACCUGGGGAGUACGCCGGCAACGGUGAAACUCAAAGGAAUUGACGGGGGCCCGCACAAGCGGAGGAACAUGUGGUUUAAUUCGAUGAUACGCGAGGAACCUUACCCGGGCUUAAAUUGCAGAUGAAUUACGGUGAAAGCCGUAAGCCGCAAGGCAUCUGUGAAGGUGCUGCAUGGUUGUCGUCAGCUCGUGCCGUGAGGUGUCGGCUUAAGUGCCAUAACGAGCGCAACCCUUGUUGUCAGUUACUAACAGGUUCCGCUGAGGACUCUGACAAGACUGCCAUCGUAAGAUGUGAGGAAGGUGGGGAUGACGUCAAAUCAGCACGGCCCUUACGUCCGGGGCUACACACGUGUUACAAUGGGGGGUACAGAGGGCCGCUACCACGCGAGUGGAUGCCAAUCCCCAAAACCUCUCUCAGUUCGGACUGGAGUCUGCAACCCGACUCCACGAAGCUGGAUUCGCUAGUAAUCGCGCAUCAGCCACGGCGCGGUGAAUACGUUCCC